UACGGAGGGUGCAAGCGUUAAUCGGAAUUACUGGGCGUAAAGCGCACGUAGGUGGUUUGCUAAGUCAGCUGUGAAAUCCCCGGACUCAACCUGGGCACUGCAGUUGAAACUGGCAAGCUAGAGUAGGGUAGAGGGGUGUGGGAAUUCCAGGUUGUAGCGGUGAAAAUGCGUAGAUAUCUGGAGGAACAUCAGUGGCGAAGGCGACACCCUGGACUCAUACUGACACUGAGGUGCGAAAGGCGUGGGGAGCAAACAGG
This 257-nucleotide ribosomal RNA is filed under the name uncultured bacterium. RNAcentral's name for it is "partial 16S ribosomal RNA". It matches the Rfam family "Bacterial small subunit ribosomal RNA", at positions 524 to 776 of the family's 1533-position model. The record is from RNAcentral.